Molecule: RNase P RNA, 429 nt
Filed under: pig gut metagenome
Description: Bacterial RNase P class A
Rfam family: Bacterial RNase P class A
About the family: Ribonuclease P (RNase P) is a ubiquitous endoribonuclease, found in archaea, bacteria and eukarya as well as chloroplasts and mitochondria. Its best characterised activity is the generation of mature 5'-ends of tRNAs by cleaving the 5'-leader elements of precursor-tRNAs.
Source: RNAcentral
AGUGGAUCAGACAGUCGCGGCGGCAAGGCGAAAGCCUGCCGAUGAGGAAAGUCCGGGCUCCACAGGGCAAGGAUAACGGGUAACGCCCGCCGAAGGCGACUUCAGGAAAAGUGCAACAGAGAUAUACCGCCGCGCGAUUCUUUCGGGAGUGAUCCUGAAGGAAUGAAGGCACAGUGAAAUGGACGGGCUGUACCGCUUGCGGUACGGCAAACGGCAUGGCACAUGAGCCGGCGCGGUAAGGGUGGAAAGGUGAGGUAAGAGCUCACCCGAUGGCGCGGAAGUGUCCAUCGCUGUAAACUCUAUCCGGAGCAACACCGGUAUGGGGACAUUGGCUGGCCCGGCCGUCCCCGGGGUGGCUUGAGCGAACCGGCAACGGUGCGCCUAGAUAGAUGACUGUCAAGACAGAACCCGGCUUACAGAUCGGCUCGU